CACUGAGAUUAAAGAUUUAUCGCUGUGGGAUGGGCCUGCGUUCUAUUAGCUUGUUGGUAGGGUAAUGGCCUACCAAGGCUACGAUGGAUAGCUGGUCUGAGAGGAUGAUCAGCCACACUGGCACUGAGACACGGGCCAGACUCCUACGGGAGGCAGCAGUGAGGAAUAUUGGGCAAUGGGCGAAAGCCUGACCCAGCAACGCCGCGUGGGUGAUGACGCUCUGAGGAGUGAAAAGCCCUGUUAGGGGGGAAGAAACUUCCCGUUUCGGGAACUGACGGUACCUCCAAAGAAAGCUCCGGCUAACUCCGUGCCAGCAGCCGCGGUAACACGGGGGGAGCAAGCGUUGUCCGGAUUUACUGGGCGUAAAGAGCGUGUAGGCGGGACAAUUAGUCAACUGUGAAAUCUUUCGGCUUAACCGGAAACCUGCAGCUGAUACUGUUGUCCUUGAGUUCGGAUAGGGAAGUGGAAUUCCUGGUGUAGCGGUGAAAUGCGUAGAUAUCAGGAAGAACACCAGUAGCGAAGGCGGCUUCCUGGUCCGUAACUGACGCUGAGACGCGAAAGCGUGGGGAGCAAACAGGAUUAGAUACCCUGGUAGUCCACGCCGUAAACGAUGGGCACUAGGUGUUGGAGGAUUCGACCCCUUCAGUGCCGAAGCUAACGCAUUAAGUGCCCCGCCUGGGGAGUACGGUCCAAGACUGAAACUCAAAGGAAUAGACGGGGGCCCGCACAAGCGGUGGAGCAUGUGGUUUAAUUCGAUGCAACGCGAAGAACCUUACCUGGGCUUGAACUGCAGUGGAAAUCCUGAGAAAUCAGGGCCUCCUUCGGGACUGCUGUAGAGGUGCUGCAUGGCUGUCGUCAGCUCGUGUCGUGAGAUGUUGGGUUAAGUCCCGCAACGAGCGCAACCCUUGUCCUUAGUUGCCAUCAGAUAAUGCUGGGCACUCUAAGGAGACUGCCCCGGAUGACGGGGAGGAAGGUGGGGAUGACGUCAAGUCCUCAUGGCCCUUACGUCCAGGGCUACACACGUGCUACAAGGCCGGAACAGUGGGAUGCAAUACCGCGAGGUGGAGCAAAUCCUCAAAACCGGUCUCAGUUCGGAUUGGAGUCUGCAACUCGACUCCAUGAAGUUGGAAUCGCUAGUAAUCGCGGAUCAGCAGGUCGCGGUGAAUACGUUCCCGGGCCUUGUACACACCGCCCGUCACGCCAUGAAAGUCGGGAGUACCAGAAGCCGGUGGCCUAACUUCGGAAGGAACCGUCGAAGGUAAGAUCGAUAAUUGGGGCGAAGUCG
Molecule: ribosomal RNA, 1285 nt
Filed under: metagenome
Description: bacterial SSU rRNA
Rfam family: Bacterial small subunit ribosomal RNA
Source: RNAcentral